This 408-nucleotide long non-coding RNA is filed under the name Manihot esculenta (cassava). Its description in RNAcentral is "long non-coding RNA (MESC_LNC000676)". The record is from RNAcentral. Lineage: Eukaryota; Viridiplantae; Streptophyta; Magnoliopsida; Malpighiales; Euphorbiaceae.
GACAGUGAACGGGUAGCUAAGACGAUGGCAGCUUGCCAAGCUGUGGUUGUCCGUAGCUGCACUGAAUUUGAAGGCAAGUACCUGAAAGUAUAUGAGGAAGUUCUUGGGAAACCGGUGAUUCCAAUAGGCUUGCUCCCUUCAGAGAAACCUGAGAAAAGAGAAAUCACUGAUGAAACAUGGAGGAAGACCUUUGAAUGGCUUGAUAAUCAACAACACAAGUCAGUUGUGUUUGUUGGGUUUGGUAGCGAAUGUAAACUUACCAAGGAUCAAGUUUACGAGAUAGCAUAUGGGCUGGAGCUUUCCGAAUUGCCAUUCCUGUGGGCACUUAGGAAACCUAGCUGGGCUAUCGAAGAUAUUGAUGUUCUGCCUCCAGGAUUCAGUGACAGGACGUCCAAGAAAGGAAUUGUG